UACGUAGGGGGCAAGCGUUGUCCGGAAUUACUGGGCGUAAAGAGCUCGUAGGCGGUUUGUCGCGUCUGCUGUGAAAACUCAGGGCUUAACCCUGAGCUUGCAGUGGGUACGGGCAGACUAGAGUGCGGUAGGGGAGACUGGAAUUCCUGGUGUAGCGGUGAAAUGCGCAGAUAUCAGGAGGAACACCGGUGGCGAAGGCGGGUCUCUGGGCCGUAACUGACGCUGAGGAGCGAAAGCAUGGGGAGCGAACAGG
RNAcentral lists this ribosomal RNA (253 nucleotides) under uncultured bacterium. RNAcentral's name for it is "partial 16S ribosomal RNA". It matches the Rfam family "Bacterial small subunit ribosomal RNA", at positions 524 to 776 of the family's 1533-position model. The record is from RNAcentral.